Long non-coding RNA from Esox lucius (northern pike), 2322 nucleotides. The record is from Ensembl. NCBI's taxonomy places the organism in Eukaryota, Metazoa, Chordata, Actinopteri, Esociformes, Esocidae.
AAUAACUAAAUUUUUGACAGCUUUAUACCAGGUUGUGUUUUUUGGCUCAUUAAGGUUAACAACAUAGCUAGAAGUUGCAGAGGAUUGAAAAUAAGCAGUAAUAACAAAUGUGAAGUGUUUGUCUGUAUAUGAUGUUGGUACAAAUGUUUGGUCAUUGUCAGGGUGGGUGCGUGCGUGCAGAAGGAAAACUCGGGGCUCAGGUGCAGGCUCAGGUGCAGGUUGUGUAUAGUUUCACACAGGAGAUAGAAACGACCAGAAGCAUAACAAAAAGUGGGCUUCGGCCCAAAACAAUGGCAAAACGAGAAUGAGGCUAACGUGACUAAGAAACACUGAAUGAAAGAAACAAAAAACUGGAGGACAUAGAGCACCUAAUACACUAUUAUGUGUGGAAGACACAGGGUACCCACUGGUCAUGGAAUUUCUGGAAUAUCAUGGGAUUUUAAAAAGUAUAUUCCAGACAUGGAGAGUCAGGGUUAAAACUUUAGUUUCCAUUCAAGAAAAUGAAUCUUCCAUGCAGUAUUCUUCUUUAUCUGGUUAUUUCCAGUAUUGCGUAUUGUUAUGGUUAGGCUACUAAAUUUUAUUGUCCAUUCAUCCCCUUCACCCUCGUCAACUGGCAAUCCCUUCAGUCAAGAUAUGCUGUCUCCUGUACCUGCUAAUGAAGGCAAACAUGCCAGGAAAAUGUACAUUAUAUAUUGUCUACAUAAUGAAGACUUCAAAGACUGGGUAUUAAAAGUAGAUGACAGCAGUUACAGUUAAAUGUAAAGUUUGUAAAACAACUACUGAUCUAUCCAAUAUGGGAGAGGGAGCACUUCGCAGCCACACAAACAGUAAGAAGCAUGUUACCCGAAUGAAGCCGACAGGAGCAUCAUCUUAAUGGUGAUCAUAAUUGUGCAUUAUACCGAUCAGCCAUAACAUUAUGACCACCUGCCUAAUAUUGUGUAGGUCCCCUUUUUUCCACCAAAACAGCCCUGACCCAUCGAGGCAUGGACUCCACUAGACCUGAAAGUGUGCUGUGGUAUCUGGCACCAAGACAUUAGCAGCAGAUCCUUUAAGUCCUGUAAGUUGUGAGGUGGGGCCUCUAUGGAUCGGACCUGUUUGUCCAGCACAUCCCACAGAUGCUUGAUUGGAUUUGGAGGCCAGGUCAAUACCUUGCAUUGCAGUGUUCCUUAAACCAUUCCUGAAUUUUUUUUCUUUGUGGCAGGGUACAUUAUCCUGUUUAAAGAGGCCAAUGCCAUCAGGGAAUACCGUUGCCAUGAAAGUGUGCACAUGGUCUGCAACAAUGCUUAAGUAGGUGGUACGUGUCAAAGUAACAAGCACAUGAAUGGCAGGACCCAAGGUUUCCCAGCAGAACAUUGCCCAAAGCAUCACACUGCCUCCGCCGGCUUGCCUUCUUCCCAUGGUCCAUAUUGGUGCCAUGUUUUCUCCAGGUGUGGUGAACUUAGAUGCCAAGGUUUUAAAGGAAAAGACCAUUUGACUUUUUAAUGCACUUAGUGCACUAAGUGUAGCAGCUUCCUUAAAAACUGUGUAGGAAUGGAAAGCAUGGGUAACAUCCAUGCGACAGAGGAAACUCUUCCGUUGAGAAUGUUUUUACCCAUGACAGUGUGGAAUCUGAGCAUUAACAAUUACAAUAUGAAUGUACAUUUCAUUGGAAGUGCAUGUGCCUAGGUAAGGAGAACAACAGAAACCUCUCUGUUUAGAUUAUCUCUCUGUAACAGAAACCUCUCUGUUUAUCUCUCUGUAGGUAUGUUUAUAAUGGUCAUAUGGCAUGGGGGUUGACUUCUAAAGACAUGGUCUUAGUUAGAAACGCCCUUAAUGUAUAGGCUAGCUGUUAACCAACAUUGCAGUGAGAAGGUAAUGGAAUGUUCACCGAAUGACAUCUGUGCUGCAAUUUUCCAAUAAACGUGAGCGAACUUCUCCCUCGAUUUGAUACGGGUUCUACAUUAUUUGACCACUAUACGAAACCGCAGAUUUCUAACAAUAGUGACUCAACUGGUCCUUUUCUAGAGGGACGCAAAAAGAACAACAAAAAAGACAGAAAAAAUGCAGGAGGGGCAAGCUGUGACGACUGCGCCCUCUGCUGCCUCUCCUCCCCCUGCAGCAGACAGGCUCCAGCGGUCGACGUCACCGGUCUUCUAACACCACCGCCCAUCUCAUUUACGCAUUUCAACUGUUGUCUUGUUUAGCGCACCUGGUCCUCAUUCUAAUCAUUCCCCCCAGUAUAUAUGUUCCCUCUGCUUCCCCUGUCCUUGUGUGUUAUUGUCUAGCCUACCCAGAGCAUUAUCAGGCUACGCCACUAUUGUCACUAUUAAAACACAGUUCAAC